Molecule: RNA transcript, 2313 nt
Organism: Mauremys mutica (yellowpond turtle)
Lineage: Eukaryota; Metazoa; Chordata; Testudines; Geoemydidae
Exons: 12
Source: RefSeq, a predicted model, not a curated record
UUGGAGAGCGCUGUGGCUUUGCUUCAGCAAGUCUCCUUCUCGAGAUCUCUCUUUGAGGACUGAGAGAGUAUUAGGGUUCACGUAGGUGAGGGCGAGGAGGAAGCUCUUUUGAGUUUUCUCCUUUCCUUUUACUGAUUUUACUAGAAAACAUACGUCCCUGUUUAGAAGCACUAUGACACCUGCCCUUGAGCCAGAGGUAGAGACCCACCUCCUUCGAGCUGCCCUGCAUGCCGUCUUCACCCUGGGCACACAGAAGGACACCACCCAAGAAGUCCAAGUAGAUCAUGCUAAAGUCAUGGAUUGAAGAGCCAGCUGUCAUCCUGCCAUGAAUCCUUGCUAAUUGCCUGCAGGGGGAUGUGAAUGAGAGAGGCCGAGAUAUGUGUUUGGGGUUCUGACCAGUGCUUCCCAGAGACCCCUUUUCCCAUCCUGUGGCAGGUGUAGCCCCACUUUCCCUAACUCUGACCCAUGGCUCUCCCUUGCUUUGCAGGAUCAAGCUAGGGUCUUGCCAGACCUCCUGGAUGCCAUGCCAGGGAACCUGCUGGCAGAGUCCCCAGGCACCGACAGGCUCCACUACAUCUUGGAGCACAUUAACUACUGGAUCGUGUCCAGCGUGUCACAGAAGAGAGCCAAGGCCAUUAGGAGCAGCACGGCCCUGCUCAGAUUCACCAUCACUUUCCCUGAGUUUGACAACUCAGCAGAAUUGCCCAGGCUGGGUCACCAUGUGGCACAGCUGGCUCUGUUCAUCAUUGACCUAGGCAAGGACCUCAGCCGGCAGGCCAGGGAGGGGGUUUACCGACUCUACCAGCUGCUGUUGCACUAGACGGGGCUGACCAUCCAUGACACAGAAGACCUGUGGUGGUGGGACAGGAGGCUCCUGGGCUACAGGAAGACAGCCAGGGUGCGGGAGGUCUUCGGAAAUUUCUUCUGGGAGGGGCAGAGCGGAUUCUUCCUCUGGAUAACAGUGUUGGCCGUCCUUGACCCCCUGCUAUGUGUCAGCCAGGCUGAGCUGCUCUUCACCUACUCCCUUCUGGGGGAAGCCCAGAAGCUGCUGGCAGACAAGGAGGACGUCAUGGUCAAAGUGAUGGGCCAGCUCCUCAUCAUCCGGCACUUGCGCCAGGUGCCUGAGGCACUGCAGGGGCUGUGCCUCUGAGGCCACCAGCAACUCCCGCCCACUCCCUGCUGCAGGCUCUGAAGAAGGCCUGCCCAGAGCUAUGGAUGCCAUGCUGAAGAGCUUGCUGACAGCAAUCCGCAGCACAGACAAUCUCCAGCACAUCUUGGAGGCUCUGUCCCAGCCUCUCACAGAGAUGUAUCCUGCAGCCAGCCCAGCUCAGGGAGCAGUGGGGACAGGUGAUCUCAUCCUGUCAAACCAAGCAACAUGGGUCUUAUUGAGGCUCAGAUGGAAGACCCAUUCAUCUCCUGGAGGAUGUGUCCAGGAUCCUGGAGAAUGUUUUCUGCAGGAGGUUUGAAUGGGGAGAGAUCACUCACAGUCAUGACCCAGAGAACCUAAGAAGUUCAGCCCCAGUUUGAGGCUCCACUCCUGAGGUUCUAGUGGAGGAGUCCCAGAGAAGCUCAUUGGCUCUGCUUAAGGCAGCAGCAGGAAAAGGAAGCUGACUGAACACCAGGGCUGCUCCCUGUUCUGGACCGUGUGCUGCCUCUUUCUGCUGCCGCUCCCCUGUCUUGAUUUCCUGGCAUCUGAUUUGUGGCUGUGAUUGCAAGUUUGUCUUGUGCUUCUGAUCUUCCAGUAUCGUGGCCCAGCUGGCUCUCAACUCCUGUCAUGGCUCACCAUCCAUCUUGGAGCUGAACACCAGAUGGGAGCUGAUUGAUUGUCCUUGGUGGGCCAUGUUCUUGUGUGUGAUGGAGCUGUGUGGCAGAGAGGGCCAGGAGAAGAUGCACCACACAUGGCCAGGACCGGGCUAAACAAUCUGUUAUGGUAGAGAGUCAGCCAGUGAGGCCAGUUUGCAGAAUGUGGAAGAGCUGUUUGGCGAUGGGUUGGAGGAUUCACCAUGUAGGUGGCAGCAGCUGCAGUGCCUGGGGUCCCCAUGGGCCAAGGCUCCACUCCUGUUGCACCAAUCUCCCACUGCUCUCAGGGGGCUUUGGCUUUAGCUGCUGGGCCUGCGUGCCUAGAGAGAGGACUCAGGUAUUUCCAUCAGGCUGCUCAAUGGCAAAUGCAGCCAUCCACAGAAUUGAAGAAGAAUGGAAGUGAAAGAGUAAAGCUGGCCCAUCCACUGAGCUGCUGCAAUCAAGUGAGCAGAGCUGGGGAGAGAAGAGGGAGAAUGUGAAGGUGGCUGGUGGCAUUAAGGGGGAAAAGCAGUU